CCUACGGGAGGCAGCAGUGGGGAAUAUUGCACAAUGGGCGAAAGCCUGAUGCAGCGACGCCGCGUGAGGGAUGACGGCCUUCGGGUUGUAAACCUCUUUCAGCAGGGAAGAAGCGAAAGUGACGGUACCUGCAGAAGAAGCGCCGGCUAACUACGUGCCAGCAGCCGCGGUAAUACGUAGGGCGCAAGCGUUGUCCGGAAUUAUUGGGCGUAAAGAGCUCGUAGGCGGCUUGUUGCGUCGGUUGUGAAAGCCCGGGGCUUAACCCCGGGUCUGCAGUCGAUACGGGCAGGCUAGAGUGUGGUAGGGGAGAUCGGAAUUCCUGGUGUAGCGGUGAAAUGCGCAGAUAUCAGGAGGAACACCGGUGGCGAAGGCGGAUCUCUGGGCCAUUACUGACGCUGAGGAGCGAAAGCGUGGGGAGCGAACAGGAUUAGAUACCCUGGUAGUCCACGCCGUAAACGUUGGGAACUAGGUGUUGGCGACAUUCCACGUCGUCGGUGCCGCAGCUAACGCAUUAAGUUCCCCGCCUGGGGAGUACGGCCGCAAGGCUAAAACUCAAAUGAAUUGACGG
RNAcentral lists this ribosomal RNA (568 nucleotides) under uncultured bacterium. Its description in RNAcentral is "bacterial SSU rRNA". It matches the Rfam family "Bacterial small subunit ribosomal RNA", at positions 338 to 916 of the family's 1533-position model. The record is from RNAcentral.